ACGAACGCUGGCGGCGUGCUUAACACAUGCAAGUCGAACGGUGAAGGGGUCUGCUUUUGUGGGCCCUGGAUGAGUGGCGAACGGGUGAGUAACACGUGAGUAACCUACCCCCUUCUUCUGGAUAACCGCAUGAAAGUGUGGCUAAUACGGGAUAUUCUGGGUCUGUCGCAUGAUGGGUCUGGGAAAGAUUGCGCCUUUGGGUGUUUUUGGUGGGGGAUGGGCUCGCGGCCUAUCAGCUUGUUGGUGGGGUGAUGGCCUACCAAGGCGGUGACGGGUAGCCGACCUGAGAGGGUGGACGGUCACACUGGGACUGAGACACGGCCCAGACUCCUACGGGAGGCAGCAGUGGGGAAUAUUGCACAAUGGGCGCAAGCCUGAUGCAGCGACGCCGCGUGAGGGAUGGAGGCCUUCGGGUUGUAAACCUCUUUCGCCAGUGAAGCAGGCCUGCUCCUUGUGGGUGGGUUGACGGUAGCUGGAUAAGAAGCGCCGGCUAACUACGUG
RNAcentral lists this ribosomal RNA (501 nucleotides) under uncultured bacterium. RNAcentral describes it as "partial 16S ribosomal RNA". It matches the Rfam family "Bacterial small subunit ribosomal RNA", at positions 29 to 507 of the family's 1533-position model. The record is from RNAcentral.